CCACGAGACAGGGCGCAGAGAGCGAGUGCACGGCUGGCAGGGACAGGUCGCGACCCAGCUCCUUGCGGAGAGCAGAAAGGCCGAGACGCCAGGAAACAGGACUAUACAGCUACCGCCUCGCACCCGGCUACCGCCUCGCACCCGGCUACCGCCUCGCACCCGGCUACCGCCUCGCACCCGGCUACCGCCUCGCACCCGGCUCCCCCAACGCACCGACGUCCGCGCAGGCUCACUACGCCGGUACCCGGUGCGAGGGCGUCACCGGAAGUGCCCCGCGGCGCCCCGGAUGCGACGGGGCAACAUCGCGGUUGCCAGGGCGACGGGAGCUUUCCGCAGCUGCUGGUACUCCCCAUUGGAAACGUAGAACCGUUACCGGUCGAGGGCCUUAGCAGCCGUCGUGACCCUCUAGGGAAUCCCACGAUGUUCUUCUACCUGACCAAGAAAAUUUCCAUUCCCAAUAACGUGAAGCUGAAGUGUGUAUCCUGGAACAAGGGACAAGGGUUCAUAGCAUGCGGUGGUGAAAAUGGAUUACUGCAAGUUUUGAAAUUAGAGACGCAGACAGAUGAUGCAAAAUUGAGGAGCCUUGCAGCCCCCAGUAACCUUUCUAUGCGUCACACUCUUGAAGGUCAUAGUGGUUCUGUUCAAGUUGUAACAUGGAAUGAACAGUAUCAGAAGUUGACUACCAGUGAUGAAAAUGGGCUUAUCAUUGUGUGGAUGUUAUAUAAAGGUAUACAUUACUAGGAGAGCUUAUUUAAUUUUUCACAUGUUGACAUCUAGCUUACAGUAUUUGGAUG
This 794-nucleotide long non-coding RNA is filed under the name Rhinopithecus bieti (black snub-nosed monkey). RNAcentral's name for it is "lncRNA (ENSRBIG00000045688.1)". The record is from RNAcentral. Lineage: Eukaryota; Metazoa; Chordata; Mammalia; Primates; Cercopithecidae.